UACGUAGGGUGCAAGCGUUAAUCGGAAUUACUGGGCGUAAAGCGUGCGCAGGCGGUUAUGUAAGACAGGUGUGAAAUCCCCGGGCUUAACCUGGGAACUGCAUUUGUGACUGCAUAGCUAGAGUACGGUAGAGGGGGAUGGAAUUCCGCGUGUAGCAGUGAAAUGCGUAGAUAUGCGGGGGAACACCGAUGGCGAAGGCAAUCCCCUGGACCUGUACUGACGCUCAUGCACGAAAGCGUGGGGAGCAAACAGG
This 253-nucleotide ribosomal RNA is filed under the name uncultured bacterium. RNAcentral describes it as "partial 16S ribosomal RNA". It matches the Rfam family "Bacterial small subunit ribosomal RNA", at positions 524 to 776 of the family's 1533-position model. The record is from RNAcentral.